UACCUGUAUGACCCUACUGGAUAUGAAUGAGAAAGAAUAUAUUGAAAUUGAGAAAAUAAGAUUUACAUUAUGAAAUCAACUCUAAGGAAAGAAGUAGGCAGGAAACCUGUUGAAAGAAAAUGAAAGCAUUAUAUUUCAGCAAUUACUUAAAUCCUGCAAGAAGAUCAUGUUUGAUGGACACUGAAACUGGACAUUGUAGAAGAUGAAUUAUGAGAGUGAUUUAUGAAAGAAAGACAGUGGAGAAUUGCAAUCGAUGGAGACAUUCAAAGAAAAGACUUUGGCACUACAUCAAAAGAGAGUAGAAUAAGUAGUCUUUGCUUAUACAUUUUAAAUGAAAAUAAAUGUUUAUCAUACAUAUUUGCUGUUUUUUAAACUGUAAUUCAAUUACUAAGGCUGAAGGGAAGAAUGGAUGUUGGAUAAAGAACUUUCGAUUCUGUCAUUGUUAGUAUUAUUUGUGUGCGUAUGUGUGUGUGUGUGUGUGUGUGAAUGUUGAGCUUCUCAGCUUCAAUAGUUAGCAGGAAAAAGCACUGAAUCGUGAAGCAUAAACUACAAAUAUAGCAUCUGUAUGAUAUUCUCUUUAAAAAAUGGUAAAAUUCUAGGAAACAGUCUUUGGUGCUUGCUUUUUUAGAAUGAUUGGCAUGGGAUCUGAGUCUUAGUUUCAGCUUUUAUGACUGCUUUUUACUGCAUCAAAUAUUUGACCAGGCAAAGUACAUUUCAAUGAACAGCUUUACUCCCCUUUAAAAGAAUCUGAAAGUCCAGCUAAAACUCCUCAUCAAGUUAGCUGGGAUCAUGGUGUUCAUUUUGGAUGAGGCAAUGUACUAAUUCAUUCAGUCAGCUCGAUUUGACAUUUCUGGGUUAGGGUAUCUUCCUUAAAAGUUACACAAUAAGUUGGAAUUAAAGUGCUCUGCUUGCUUUUGAUAAGACUGAUCAAAAGAGUGAUAGGAGUAAUCACUACUUAGAAUCCUAUUUAAUAAGUAUUUUCCAUUUAUCUAACUCUAAGGAGAAUUUAGGCUAUUUGUCUAGUGAAAUCCAUUUGAUACCAGGAUUUGUUAUGGCCAUUCUACAAUCAGGUGUUCCUAAUGUAAUGAAUGAGAUAAAAAAUAAUUAAGCUAACAUUUAUAUGAUGCUUACUACUUCCAGAAACUGUUAUUAUGCAUUAUUAACUGACUUAAUCCUCCUUACCACUUUAGGGGGUAGAUACUAUUAUUAUUCCUUUUUUUUUCAGAUGACGAAACUAAAGCACAAAGAGAUUAAAGAACUUAUCCAAGGUCAUGCAGCUGGAAAGAAGUGGAUUUGGGAUUGUGAACAUCACAAUUUCACAAACUACAUUUCAUGAUGGGUAGAGCUAGUCAAACGUCUGAAAAUAAAGUUUGGUUUAAAGAUG
This 1384-nucleotide long non-coding RNA is filed under the name Homo sapiens (human). RNAcentral describes it as "HSALNT0210199". Lineage: Eukaryota; Metazoa; Chordata; Mammalia; Primates; Hominidae. The record is from RNAcentral.